CUACAACAACCACAACUACAGCUCCUGCUACAACAAUUGUAGCUUCCACGUCAACCUCAGCAGCUGCCUCUACGACAACCACAGCAGCUCUAACUACAACAACUGUUGCUCCAAUGACAACUACAACUCCAGAACGUAUUGCAACAACCACUGCAGCUCCUGCAAUAACAACUGCUAUUCUUACAACAAUUGCGACUGCAGCACCUUCUACAAGAACUACAACUUCAGCCCCUACGACAACCACAACAGCAACACCUACAACAACUAUAGCUCCCACGACAACUGCAGCUCCUACAACAACGUUAGCAUCUACUUCAACCACAGAAGCUGCCCCUACGACAGCCAAUGCAGCCAUAAUUACACUAACUGCUGCUCCUACGACCACUACAACUCCAGAACCUACUACAACAGAACCUACUCCUACAACUACUAAGACUGCAGACCCUACCACGACAACCAGUGCAGCCCCUUCUACAACAACUACAACAGCUCUUUCAACGACUGUAAAUCCUAUGACAACAAUAGUUGGUCCUACAACCACUAUUAUAUCAAUUAAUUCUGCAGGUCCUACAACCACCACCACAACUGGCAGUUCUCAUCCUACAACAACGACUAAAACUGCAUCACCUUCAAGUACAAACACAAUUGUACUUCCAACAUCAACAUCCAGAACUACAACUUAUAACUCAACUUCUAUGAUAUCAACAACUAGAUUCGACACAGUGGGGGUUUUGUUAAACUGAUAUUCAAGGUCAAAACACCAGUCCCCACUGAGGAUGAUGUCCUUGGUGCCGUCAAGAAGCAAUUGUCUCCUCAAUUCACGACCACUCAAACCACCUUCCAGAAUGCAACUUAUAUCAAACUUACAGAUACUUCAUUUGCCAUCGACCUUGGUUUCAAAAUAACCAAUGUAACCCAGGAGUCUCUAAGUAAUAGACUCACACUCACCAAUGAGACCGAAACCCAGAUACAGGAUUCAAUUAACAGACUACUCCAAAAGGUUCUCAGUGAACCAGAUGGCAAACAGUUUAAAUUUCCCAAUGCCAACCUCAUUGUUGAUGGCACUGAAAUCACGGCAAACGUGACGUAUGUUUACAAAGAGGAAGAUGUCAACCACCCUAGUGGUUUUCUACAGGAACUCUUAAAAGUCUCAGGUCUCCUAACCACCACUGUUGCCCCAACAACAACUACCAACACCACUCCACUUCCUACCCUUUUGACUUCAGUGACAUCAACAACUAGAUUCGACACAGUGGGGUUUUUGUUAAACUGAUAUUCAAGGUCAAAACACCAGUCCCCACUGAGGAUGAUGUCCUUGGUGCCGUCAAGAAGCAAUUGUCUCCUCAAUUCACGACCACUCAAACCACCUUCCAGAAUGCAACUUAUAUCAAACUUACAGAUACUUCAUUUGCCAUCGACCUUGGUUUCAAAAUAACCAAUGUAACCCAGGAGUCUCUAAGUAAUAGACUCACACUCACCAAUGAGACCGAAACCCAGAUACAGGAUUCAAUUAACAGACUACUCCAAAAGGUUCUCAGUGAACCAGAUGGCAAACAGUUUAAAUUUCCCAAUGCCAACCUCAUUGUUGAUGGCACUGAAAUCAGGGCAAACGUGACGUAUGUAUACAAAGAGGAAGAUGUCAACCACCCUAGUGGUUUUCUACAGGAACUCUUAAAAGUCUCAGGUCUCCUAACCACCACUGUUGCCCCAACAACAACUACCAACACCACUCCACUUCCUACCCUUUUGACUUCAGUGACAUCAACAACUAGAUUCGACACAGUGGGGGGUUUU
This is a long non-coding RNA of Oncorhynchus gorbuscha (pink salmon), 1794 nucleotides long. RefSeq lists it as uncharacterized. The record is from RefSeq and is a predicted model, not a curated record. The transcript has 12 exons. NCBI's taxonomy places the organism in Eukaryota, Metazoa, Chordata, Actinopteri, Salmoniformes, Salmonidae.